Molecule: ribosomal RNA, 693 nt
Filed under: Plantibacter agrosticola (nom. nud.)
Lineage: Bacteria; Bacillati; Actinomycetota; Actinomycetes; Micrococcales; Microbacteriaceae
Description: bacterial SSU rRNA
Rfam family: Bacterial small subunit ribosomal RNA
Source: RNAcentral
AGUUGCUGGAAAGAAUUUUGGUCAGGGAUGAACUCGCGGCCUAUCAGCUAGUUGGUGAGGUAAUGGCUCACCAAGGCGACGACGGGUAGCCGGCCUGAGAGGGUGACCGGCCACACUGGGACUGAGACACGGCCCAGACUCCUACGGGAGGCAGCAGUGGGGAAUAUUGCACAAUGGGCGAAAGCCUGAUGCAGCAACGCCGCGUGAGGGACGACGGCCUUCGGGUUGUAAACCUCUUUUAGCAGGGAAGAAGCGAAAGUGACGGUACCUGCAGAAAAAGCACCGGCUAACUACGUGCCAGCAGCCGCGGUAAUACGUAGGGUAGCAAGCGUUGUCCGGAAUUAUUGGGCGUAAAGAGCUUGUAGGCGGUUUGUCGCGUCUGCUGUGAAAUCCCGAGGCUCAACCUCGGGUCUGCAGUGGGUACGGGCAGACUAGAGUGCGGUAGGGGAGAUUGGAAUUCCUGGUGUAGCGGUGGAAUGCGCAGAUAUCAGGAGGAACACCGAUGGCGAAGGCAGAUCUCUGGGCCGUUACUGACGCUGAGGAGCGAAAGGGUGGGGAGCAAACAGGCUUAGAUACCCUGGUAGUCCACCCCGUAAACGUUGGGCGCUAGAUGUGGGGACCAUUCCACGGUUUCCGUGUCGUAGCUAACGCAUUAAGCGCCCUGCCUGGGCCGUACGACUGGCAAAAGGUAUG